RNAcentral lists this ribosomal RNA (433 nucleotides) under uncultured bacterium. RNAcentral's name for it is "partial 16S ribosomal RNA". It matches the Rfam family "Bacterial small subunit ribosomal RNA", at positions 29 to 507 of the family's 1533-position model. The record is from RNAcentral.
AACGAACGCUGGCGGCAUGCCUAACACAUGCAAGUCGAACGAGACCUUCGGGUCUAGUGGCGCACGGGUGCGUAACGCGUGGGAACCUGCCCUUAGGUUCGGAAUAACUCCCCGAAAGGGGUGCUAAUACCGGAUAAUGUCUUCGGACCAAAGAUUUAUCGCCUUUGGAUGGGCCCGCGUUGGAUUAGCUAGUUGGUAGGGUAAAAGCCUACCAAGGCGACGAUCCAUAGCUGGUCUGAGAGGAUGAUCAGCCACACUGAGACUGAGACACGGCCCAGACUCCUACGGGAGGCAGCAGUGGGGAAUAUUGGACAAUGGGCGAAAGCCUGAUCCAGCAAUGCCGCGUGAGUGAUGAAGGCCUUAGGGUUGUAAAGCUCUUUUACCCGGGAUGAUAAUGACAGUACCGGGAGAAUAAGCUCCGGCUAACUCCGCG